CCAAAAGCUUAAAGGAGGGGAAAGGAGAUUCAGGGUCAUUGAUAGAUCCCGACGCCGGUGAGCAGUUGCUACACCGGCGCCGAGAAGCAAAGUGAGACGGUGAAAUCAUUGUCGACACUAUUGCAUUAGAGGCAAGGAAAAUACAGGUCAUGUAGAGGAAACCCAGUUGCUGAAACAAAGAUAUGGCAUUUCAAAUUAGUUUUUGUUAUUUCAUACAAUUACGACUCGAGUAGCUAGUGCUUAAGAGUAGACAUGAG
Molecule: long non-coding RNA, 257 nt
Organism: Capsella rubella
Lineage: Eukaryota; Viridiplantae; Streptophyta; Magnoliopsida; Brassicales; Brassicaceae
Exons: 2
Source: RefSeq, a predicted model, not a curated record